RNAcentral lists this ribosomal RNA (450 nucleotides) under uncultured bacterium. Its description in RNAcentral is "partial 16S ribosomal RNA". It matches the Rfam family "Bacterial small subunit ribosomal RNA", at positions 354 to 796 of the family's 1533-position model. The record is from RNAcentral.
GUAGGGAAUCUUCGGCAAUGGACGAAAGUCUGACCGAGCAACGCCGCGUGAGUGAAGAAGGUUUUCGGAUCGUAAAACUCUGUUGGUAGAGAAGAACGUUGGUGAGAGUGGAAAGCCCAUCAAGUGACGGUAACUACCCAGAAAGGGACGGCUAACUACGUGCCAGCAGCCGCGGUAAUACGUAGGUCCCGAGCGUUGUCCGGAUUUAUUGGGCGUAAAGCGAGCGCAGGUGGUUUAUUAAGUCUGGUGUAAAAGGCAGUGGCUCAACCAUUGUAUGCAUUGGAAACUGGUAGACUUGAGUGCAGGAGAGGAGAGUGGAAUUCCAUGUGUAGCGGUGAAAUGCGUAGAUAUAUGGAGGAACACCGGUGGCGAAAGCGGCUCUCUGGCCUGUAACUGACACUGAGGCUCGAAAGCGUGGGGAGCAAACAGGAUUAGAUACCCGGGUAGUCC